AGUGAACGCUGGCGGUAGGCCUAACACAUGCAAGUCGAACGGCGGCACAGUAAGAGCUUGCUCUUACGGGUGGCGAGUGGCGGACGGGUGAGGCAUACAUCGGAAUCUACUUUUUCGUGGGGGAUAACGUAGGGAAACUUACGCUAAUACCGCAUACGACCUACGGGUGAAAGCAGGGGAUCUUCGGACCUUUCGCGAUUGAAUGAGCCGAUGUCGGAUUAGCUAGUUGGCGGGGUAAAGGCCCACCAAGGCGACGAUCCGUAGCUGGUCUGAGAGGAUGAUCAGCCACACUGGAACUGAGACACGGUCCAGACUCCUACGGGAGGCAGCAGUGGGGAAUAUUGGACAAUGGGCGCAAGCCUGAUCCAGCCAUACCGCGUGGGUGAAGAAGGCCUUCGGGUUGUAAAGCCCUUUUGUUGGGAAAGAAAAGCAGCAGGUUAAUACCCCGCUGUUCUGACGGUACCCAAAGAAUAAGCACCGGCUAACUUCGUG
Molecule: ribosomal RNA, 492 nt
Filed under: uncultured bacterium
Lineage: Bacteria
Description: partial 16S ribosomal RNA
Rfam family: Bacterial small subunit ribosomal RNA
Source: RNAcentral